RNAcentral lists this unclassified non-coding RNA (211 nucleotides) under soil metagenome. Its description in RNAcentral is "partial contains 5.8S ribosomal RNA, internal transcribed spacer 2, and large subunit ribosomal RNA". The record is from RNAcentral.
AACACUGUUAACCUGCGGUACCUGCGGAAGGAUCAUUACCGAGUGCGGGCUGCCUCCGGGCGCCCAACCUCCCACCCGUGACUACCUAACACUGUUGCUUCGGCGGGGAGCCCCCCAGGGGCGAGCCGCCGGGGACCACUGAACUUCAUGCCUGAGAGUGAUGCAGUCUGAGCCUGAAUACAAAUCAGUCAAAACUUUCAGCAACGGAUCU